UCCGUAGGUGAACCUGCGGAAGGAUCAUUAAAAAAUAUCGCUCGAUUGAGAGUGAUUUAAUAAUCAUCCUACCUUUGUGAAUUUGUUGUUUGUAAUAAUUUUUUUGAUUUUAAAAAAAAAUUAUUUAUGGUUUUGUCUAUCCUGAAAUUGGUUUGUUGUGAAUGAAUCAAAUUUAGGAAUAGGCUUUCAUAAAUAAGUUUUUUUUAAAGUCUUAAAGACCUUUUUUAAAAUUAAACUUUUGUAUUCAUUUGUCUAAAUUUUUUUUUAAAUAAUUUAAAAACAACUUUUGACAAUGGAUCUCUUGGUUCUCGCAACGAUGAAGAACGCAGCAAAAUGCGAUAAGUAAUGUGAAUUGCAGAAUACGUGAAUCAUCAAAUCUUCGAACGCAUAUUGCACUUUUUUAGUUUACUAAAAAGUAUGUCUGUUUGAGUAUCAGUAAAAUAUUCUCAUAAAAACAUUUUUGUUUUUAUGGUUAUGAGUGUUUUACAACGAUAAACAAGUUGUUUCACUUUAAAUUCAUUUUAAUUUAAGACAUUUAUGGUUUUAAUAUAAAAUUGGAUAAAAUUUUCCCGUAAAAAGGAAUAAACUUUUCAGUUUUUAGUUAUACAACAACGGUCCGAUUUAAAAGGAAUUUAUAUUUAAAUAACUUGAUCUCAAAUCAGAUAAGAGUACCGCUGAACUUAAGCAUAUCAAUAAGCGGAGGAAAAGAAACUAACAAGGAUUCCCUUAGUAACGGCGAGUGAAGCGGAAGAGCUCAAAUUUGAAAUCUUCAAGUUCUACCUUGACGUAUUGUAGUUUAAAGAAGUGUUUUCUGUUAGAUGAGUAGCAAAAGUUCCUUGGAAUGGACAUCAUAGAGGGUGAGAAUCCCGUAUUUGGUUAUCAUUCUAGCUUUGUGAUACACUUUCAAAGAGUCGGAUUGUUUGGGAAUGCAGUCCAAAAUGGGUGGUAAAUUUCAUCUAAAGCUAAAUAUUGGCGAGAGACCGAUAGCGAGCAAGUACCGUGAGGAAAGAUGAAAAGAACUUUGAAAAGAGAGUUAAACAGUACGUGAAAUUGUCAAAAGGGAAGCGUUUGACACCAGUGUUGUUUUUCCGAAAAUCAAUUACGAAUGGCUUGAUUUUGUGUUGUAUUGACCUUAUCAGCUUUCUUCACUUUUUUCGAGUCUUUCUUAAUGCACUUAUCGUUAACAAGUCAACAUCAAUUUCUUUUGUUGUAAAAGAGUAUUCGGAAGGUGGCUUUCUUUUCGGAGAAAGUGUUUAUAGCCCUAUACUUCUACAAUCGGAGAGAUUGAGGUCUGCAGCGUAGAUCCUUCGGGUUAGAUGCAUUUGUGCUAAGUUGUAGCUUUUCAUAGACAACUUGUUGACUAUGUUUAGUCAUGCGGCUUACUCGCUUAUGCUAUUU
Molecule: unclassified non-coding RNA, 1398 nt
Filed under: uncultured Neocallimastigales
Lineage: Eukaryota; Fungi; Neocallimastigomycota; Neocallimastigomycetes; Neocallimastigales
Description: partial contains small subunit ribosomal RNA, internal transcribed spacer 1, 5.8S ribosomal RNA, internal transcribed spacer 2, and large subunit ribosomal RNA
Rfam family: Eukaryotic large subunit ribosomal RNA (bases 649-1398)
Source: RNAcentral